AAUUACAACAUAAAAACACAAUAGCAUAAAAUUACACACGACAAAGAUGUUUAUCUUCAUCAAUUGUGUAAUUAGGCUGUCGAGAAGAAGCCAUGGAAAAUGAAAUAACAGCUAAAGAAAGACAAGUUGGUAAAAGAAGGAAGAGGGUUAUUGUGUGCUAAAAUAGAAAAAAUAGCUCAUAUAUAUAGAGGACGAUGGUGAUUGAAUUGAAGCUGCAUUAUUUGAUAUGUAGGACACCAGCUGCAUUAUUUUUCUGCAUUAUUUGACCAAAUGCUUUAUCUUUUACUGCAUGUGAUUGAUUAAUGCUUUAUCUUUUUCUGCAUGAUACAGCUGUAGAUUGAUAUGUAGGAUACAAGCUGCAUUAUUUGAUAUCAUGUAGGACCAAAUGGUAUUGUCAAAUCAAUCCUUUCGUAUAGUAGGGGAGUGAUAAGGUGGAUGAUUCAGAUUUAAUGAAAUCUGAAUGGACGUAUAGUUAGUUUUAUCAUGUAAUUGAUGCUUUGUUAAGUAUUGUGUAAUGUUUAAUUCUAAGAGUAUUAUGUAAUUUCAG
This 547-nucleotide long non-coding RNA is filed under the name Salvia miltiorrhiza (redroot sage). RNAcentral's name for it is "long non-coding RNA (SMIL_LNC011896)". Lineage: Eukaryota; Viridiplantae; Streptophyta; Magnoliopsida; Lamiales; Lamiaceae. The record is from RNAcentral.